This 1476-nucleotide long non-coding RNA is filed under the name Homo sapiens (human). RNAcentral's name for it is "HSALNT0328371". Lineage: Eukaryota; Metazoa; Chordata; Mammalia; Primates; Hominidae. The record is from RNAcentral.
CACAAAUUGAGAUGGAAUAGCCUACUAUACGCCUAGGCUGGAUGGUAUAGCCUGUUGCUCUGAGGCUACCAACCUACACAGUCUCCACUGCUACGACAACAAUAAAGAUCUAAAGCAGCUGUUCAGCUUUGGGUGGACCACACAGAGCCAUCCCCAGGAGACACAGCAACCUGAGACAACAGUCAGUCAAACAAAUGUAAACAUAAUCUUCAGUGUCCUGUUCAGAUACCAGUACAAGUUGGGUGACUUCUGGCUCUCAUCCUCCAAGAAGAGGGAAAGACUGAGGAAACGAGAACCAACGCAGUUAUUGCUGAACCCAGGAUAAUCAGAACUGCUGGAGUCAUCCUGUGACCAUAGAGGGAGAUUUCACUGAAUCCUGAUGAUGGCAGAAGAGAAUUAUGAAGAGUGCCUCCGUCCUUGAAGACUCUGUUGAGCAGCCAAACUGACCCUGGAACUGCCUAUUUCAAAAUUCCUCAUGAAGUAAGCUUUAAAAUGGCCUUCUUAUUUAAGCCAUUUUUAGGAAUAUAGAGAACAAAAGUCAGAUAUUACUUGAGAAGCAGAGUGUCAGAGAACCAGGAAUUAAAGACAUAAGCUAAUCCCCAAUCAAGCAUCUAACUGCAUCCUGCCUUUAAGGAUUGGGCCCCAGAACUUCUCAGGGAUUCUUCCAGAGAAAUCAGGAAUAACCUAUCUACUAAUGAUCAGCACCUGUGUCUUUGUGUCUGAGGCCAAGAAUAAAUUCAUCAACUGGGUAGCCACUACAGCAGAAGAAGCCAACCACAGUCAAUGUUGACUACGCGUCAAGUUGCCAGAGGCCACAGGAAAUGGACUACCUUGGAGAAUCAUCCCUGCCAACAUUUCUGAAUGGCUAUGUCACUACCAAUGGGGCCACAACAACAACACUUGCAACCCAACCUGGACUUCCUUUGACCAAAGGAAGAAAUCUAUCUUUGCCCAUGUCAGACGAAAGGUGAACACCACCCUUGCCUUGUGUCAAAAGCUUUGGUAUCCUGCCCAAUAUGCCUGGAACAGUAUAUAUUGGGAAACUGCUGUGCUGGUGGCCAGAUUCCAUAUAGCCCCCCACUUUGUCUGGAGGCCUUAAAUGGCUCCUCUAAUGUUACUCUGGGGUUUCUCCUGCCAGACAACUGUCAACACAUACUCGAAAUCAACAACAUUGUCCCCAGUGAAACACAAUCUCUUUCCUGCUUUAAUAACACCUUAAUACACUAUAAUUACAAAAAAACCAUUGCUGUACCCUGGUGGGGGCCCUGUGGGUAUGCAGAUCCUACGAGUGGCAAUACCUGCCCCCACAUUGGAUGGGGAGAUGCACUUAGAGGUGGCCAUUAAUUCCAUUCACCAUCCAGGAUAAUAUUCCCCUCCCCAGUAAUCUGGACUCCCUGGUGGUGGUACCCUAUCACAGUAUUCUCCCCUGCCACCGGUACAAUCCUGCUUCAGCAAAAAAUUAAAAUAUUAAGCUUA